Molecule: long non-coding RNA, 317 nt
Organism: Penaeus indicus
Lineage: Eukaryota; Metazoa; Arthropoda; Malacostraca; Decapoda; Penaeidae
Exons: 3
Source: RefSeq, a predicted model, not a curated record
GACCGCACUCACUGUUCGGCGGCAUCUCUCGCAGCAACACUAACACUCCCGGAUUGUUCUCACGCACGGACACAGACGCCAACUUGGGUUACCGCUACAACAUCAACGACAGAUCUUCCCUCACCGUCUCCGGACACCACAGGAAUUCUGAUUUCGGGCCCUUCGGAAGCCAUUCUGACCAGACUUUCAGGUUGGGCGGCGCAUUUUCCUUUUGAGUUCUCGCCUCAAGAUCGAGGAGAAAUUACUUAGUUUUGUUUUAAUGUAUUGGUGCAUUUUGGUCCUUUUGAAUCAAUAAAGAUGGUAAACAAAUGCGUAAU